This 432-nucleotide ribosomal RNA is filed under the name uncultured Methylobacterium sp. Its description in RNAcentral is "bacterial SSU rRNA". It matches the Rfam family "Bacterial small subunit ribosomal RNA", at positions 342 to 791 of the family's 1533-position model. Lineage: Bacteria; Pseudomonadati; Pseudomonadota; Alphaproteobacteria; Hyphomicrobiales; Methylobacteriaceae. The record is from RNAcentral.
CGGGGGGCAGCAGUGGGGAAUAUUGGACAAUGGGCGCAAGCCUGAUCCAGCCAUGCCGCGUGAGUGAUGAAGGCCUUAGGGUUGUAAAGCUCUUUUAUCCGGGACGAUAAUGACGGUACCGGAGGAAUAAGCCCCGGCUAACUUCGUGCCAGCAGCCGCGGUAAUACGAAGGGGGCUAGCGUUGCUCGGAAUCACUGGGCGUAAAGGGCGCGUAGGCGGCGUUUUAAGUCGGGGGUGAAAGCCUGUGGCUCAACCACAGAAUGGCCUUCGAUACUGGGACGCUUGAGUAUGGUAGAGGUUGGUGGAACUGCGAGUGUAGAGGUGAAAUUCGUAGAUAUUCGCAAGAACACCGGUGGCGAAGGCGGCCAACUGGACCAUUACUGACGCUGAGGCGCGAAAGCGUGGGGAGCAAACAGGAUUAGAUACCCGAGU